AGGACGAACGCUGGCGGCGUGCUUCAUACAUGCAAGUCGAACGAGAAACUAACUUCGGUUAGUGGAAAGUGGCGGACGGGUGAGUAAAAUGUAGAGAAUCUGCCCUAGAGAGGGGGACAACCGUUGGAAACGACAGCUAAUACCCCAUAUGAGCGUAGCUGAAAUGCUAUUCUUGAAAACUCCGGUGCUCUAGGAUGAGUCUGCAUCUGAUUAGCUAGUUGGGGGUGUAAUGGACCACCAAGGCGACGAUCAGUAGCUGGUUUGAGAGGAUGAUCAGCCACAAUGGGACUGAGACACGGCCCAUACUCCUACGGGAGGCAGCAGUAGGGAAUUUUGCGCAAUGGGCGAAAGCCUGACGCAGCCAACGCCGCGUGAUCGAGACGCUUUUCGGAGUGUAAAGAUCUGUCACAGGGGACGAAAAAUGACGGUACCCUGAGAGGAAGCACCGGCUAACUCCGUGCCAGCAGCAGC
RNAcentral lists this ribosomal RNA (471 nucleotides) under uncultured bacterium. RNAcentral's name for it is "bacterial SSU rRNA". It matches the Rfam family "Bacterial small subunit ribosomal RNA", at positions 26 to 518 of the family's 1533-position model. The record is from RNAcentral.